UGCGGAAGGAUCAUUGU
RNAcentral lists this ribosomal RNA (17 nucleotides) under Schoepfia schreberi. Its description in RNAcentral is "partial 18S ribosomal RNA". Lineage: Eukaryota; Viridiplantae; Streptophyta; Magnoliopsida; Santalales; Schoepfiaceae. RNAcentral also lists the same sequence under 4 other names. The record is from RNAcentral.